UGCCUUUUUAUAAGGUUUUGAAUUUGACAAUUUAACAAUAAUACAUGGCUUAACUUGUGAUGCAUUUAGUAAGUAGGUUGGUAGAAGGAUCAACAUUAAAAUUUAGCAAUUUUUAACAAUUGUAUAAUGUAUCAUAACGUACAGUUUAAAGUUGUAUUUUUCUGUUAGCUAUUUUACAUGAACAAAUUUUUAAUAUAUGAGUAUUUUUUCUAUUAUAUUUUCUACUAUACUUUUCCAGUUGAAAAAGUAUAGUUGGGCAAGCAAAAUGUUCAUUCGAGCUGUUUGGAUAAAAAAUACAGAGAAAUAAAGUGAGAAAAUUCGAUCGAUAAUUUUUAUGUGCUGGCUAUCAUCAUUAAAUGCCAUAAAUUGUUUCAAUGAAAUGCAUAAACCGCAUCUAACUAAUUCAGAUUUACGCUGCUCAAAAUUAAAUGUCAUGGAGUUAAUAAGCCACUACCAUGCUUAUGCAAGAGAAAACAUAAUAACCA
Non-coding RNA from Hydra vulgaris (swiftwater hydra), 485 nucleotides. NCBI's taxonomy places the organism in Eukaryota, Metazoa, Cnidaria, Hydrozoa, Anthoathecata, Hydridae. The record is from RefSeq and is a predicted model, not a curated record.